AAAUAACCUCAUUUGUCAGGAGAAAGAAAGGUACAUACAAAGUAGUAAAUUAUGAGUUUUGACAAAAGUAAUAGGCAUUUUUAGUUUUGGAUGAUGGUUUUAAUUUCUCCAAUAGUCUUCAUGAAGGUUUUGUAGCUGAUGGCAAUGGAGCUUUUCCUUUCCACUUAGCAGCCUUUUCCAUUUUCAUCUGUAAAUUUAACAUAUUUAUUGAUAUAAUAACUUGUAAACCAUUCUAAAGAAAAAAAACUUGCAGAAAACUCAUUCAGAUUCAUGUCACAGCCAUUCCACAGUUAUUAAGCUGCUAAAUACUAAAGCCAAAAUCUGUUAAAGGGACAUAAUUACACAUUUUCAGAUGGUUUUAUUUUAAUUUUACAGAAGCAUUUUAAUAAAAGUAAUAUAUGAAUAUUGCUUUAGAGAAAACAAUUUCAAUUGCCACUAAAAUUACAAGUGCUUAAAAUGACUAAACUUACAUCCAGCCUAUGCACAUUCCCUACAGAGUUACAUAAUGCACCUAAUCCAGCUGGAUUCUCUCUGGAACGUGGACUGCUUUAAGGAUAGUUUUCUAUAAUUCUGGUUUCUAUAUUCCCACAGUUACCUUUCUGAAAGUCUUUUCCUCCUCCAUUGUAGUUAAAGCAAAAAAGCAGCCACUGUGCCCAGAUGUGUAUUGGGUAAUUUUAACGAGUCUGGAUACACCUAAAAGCCUCUAAGAAGAAUAAAUAAUACAUAUUAAGAAUUCAAAAUAGGCACCAGGCGCGGUGGCUCAUGCCUGUAAUCCCAGCACUUUGCGAGGCCGAGGCGGGUGGAUCACGAGGUCAGGAGAUCCAGACCAUCCUGGCUAACACAGUGAAACCCCGUCUCUACUAAAAAUACAAAAAAUUAGCUGGGCAUGGUGGUGGGCGCCUGUGGUCCCAGCUACUCGGGAGGCUGAAGCAGGAGAAUGGCGUGAACCCGGGAGGCGGAGCUUGCAGUGAGCCGAGAUCGCGCCACUGCACUCCAGCCUGGGCGACAGACCAAGACUCCGUCUCAAAAAAAAAAAAAAAAAAAGAGAAUUCAAAAUAUAUUCAAUCUUUAUUUGGCAAAUAUUUUUAAAUAAAAAAUAAAGGUACAUGUAUAAAAAAAGAAUUCAAGAUACAUAUAAUUUACAAAUCUGCUGAUAUUGAUGUUUAUUACUGACAAUUUUAUCUGCGUAUUUAUCCAAUCUUUAUGGCCUUCAUAAAUCAACCAGUGUAUUAAAUAUCAUGUUAUUCUUUAGCCCUGUUUCUGUGUAUUCUAAUAAGCCUCAAGGCCUAACACCAACUGUAAGUAAAGACUUUAUAAAUUAUUUUCAAGGAUGUUCCACAUUCAAUGUAUAAUCAUUCUAGUGCUUUUGCUACAAGUAAAUGCUUAGUGCAACUGAAUUUCCUCAAAAACCUACCCUUUCCUGGUAUCGUCUUUCAAAGAAAGCCAUAUCAUCCUCUUCAGGUCUCCUUAAUGAAGAAACUUGACUACUUGUACCUACUAACAAGGAAAAAAAAUCUAAGUAAUGUAUUUAUAUCAUUACAUAUUCCCCUGAAAUAAAAGAAAGAAAAGUUUUCUCCUGCUCGGUGAUAAUGUUUUAUUUUUCAAACCAAAAAUGGCCUAAAUGAAUAAUUGGUCCUACUACCUCAUUCUCUUUUAGAGAGAAUGGCAUCACAGGACAAAAGUGUUUUUCACUAGCAAACAUUCUCCAAAUAUUCCACAGUUCAUAUUAAAUAGCACCAUAUAGCUAUUCCGUAUAAGAGUACACUUAGUUUUGUCCAACUACUUUUUACAUUUUAUAACUAGAAAUCCAUGUUACACUUUGAGAUAAUGCACAAAAGUAAUUAUUGAGGCUUGGUAUAGGCAACCAUAAGUAAUGAUAGUACCUGCUUCAAAAUCUUUCAAAACUGAACUAUUUUAUCCAUUUUUUACGGUAAUCACUUUGUCAAAUGGAUCAAGCACUAAUUUAUAUGCUGAAAGGAACUUUUGAAAUUGCUUCAGUAGGAAAACAUCUGGUUUUCUUGGCAGGUAGCCAAGAGCCUAAUUGCAUAGAAAAGUACACCUUCAUUGCGAGUGAAGGUCUUCACUGGGUCCCUUCAUUUCCAAAGCAGACUAGCAACCUGAACACUUGCGCUUCUAGUUUCUAAAGCAUAUGAAUUCACCCUCAAUCAGCAACAUGUAACUCCAGACAAUCACCACAGAGUAUAGCUACAGUCUGUCGAUUAUCUUUGACAAAAGUUUUAUUGAGAAGAGUAAGAAGGGAUUCUUAUUUGAAUAAGUGUUAUCCACCCAUUCCUCUGGAAACUCUGGGUCUAUCCCUGGAUCAUGUGGGACCAUUUGAGCCCAGCCUCUUCCAGACUCAUCUACAUUGAGUUGCAUUAUAAUGGCAUAUUACCAUUUAUCUAGUAAAAUGGUAUAUCACAACUCUUCAAAGGUGACUAUCAGGCCAGGUGCACUGAUUCACGCCUGUAGUCCCAGCACUUUGGGAGGUGGAGGCAGGUGGAUUGCUUGAACUCAAGAGUUCGAGACCAGCCUGGGCAACAUGGCAAAACCCUGUCUCUACAAAAAAUUCAAAAUUUAGCUGGACAUGGUGGUGCAUCCCUAUAGUCCCAGCUACUCAGGUGGCUGAGGUGGGAGAUCACUUGAGCCAGGUAGGUGGAGGUUGCAGUAAGCCAAGAUCACACCACUAUACUCCAGCCUGGGUAACAGAUCAAGACUCUGUCUCAAAAAAAAAAAAAAAAAAAAAAAAAGGAAAAGGUGACUAUCAGAAACAAGCAACUGUCUGCUGUAUUUGCUGAAAAAAAGCUUUUACCUUGGUCACUAAUCACUGAGGGUCACUAUACUGACUUAAAAUCCAGCAUGCCAGGCCAGGAGCAGUGACACAUAGCUAUAAUCCUAGUGCUUUGGGAAGCUGAGGCAGGAGGCUAGCUUGAGGCCAGGAGUUUGAGACCAGCCUAGUCAACAUAGCAAGACCCUGCUGCUGCAAAAAAAAAGUUUUUUUAAUUACCCAGGUGUGGGGGCACACCUGUACUCCUAGCUAUGUGGAAGGCUGAGGCAGGAAGAUCACUUGAGCCCUGGAGUUCAAGGUAACAGUGAGCCAUGAUCACACCACUGCACACCAGCUUGGACAACAGAGAGAGAACUUGUCUCAAAAAAAAAAAAAAAAAAAAUUCCAGCAUUGGUGUAACAUUCAUUAGCACUGAGGAACUCGGGCUUCCUCCUGUCUAAUAAAGAAAGCAUUUAAUUGACUGCACUUUCCUCUGUGUCUUGGCUGCCACUAAACUCAGUCAAAACUGAAGUUUAAACAAAGCAAUUACAUCAACCUUGAAAGCUGCCACAGCUGUGUCCUUUUCUUGGCUUCUUACUUGUAUAUAUAUUUUAUCAUUAUGUACUAAGUUGUAUGUUUUAAGGCAAGCAGCCUUAAAAUUCCUUGUGGGGAACGUCUAGGUGUAUGAAAAUACAGAUAAAGAAAAUUCUCAUUUUAAAAUAUUCUAAAAUACUAAAUUUUAAAUACCUAAUAAGUCAUACAAAUUCAUUCUUCCUGUUUUCAGUAAGGAAAAUACAGAAUACUGGUGCUUAAAAAUGAAUUCUACUUGCUCUUAAUUUAUAAAUGAUAAAACCCUGCUAACCUAUGGUUAUCACUGGAUUACGCCUCUUUGGGAAAACCCAAAGGCAAUUAGGCCGCCAGAAGGCCCUCUUAUUCAAACACCAGAGCAACAGCAUGUACCAGAACAAGGUUUAAAACUUCAAAUUAUAGUAGUAUCAGAAUCCUCGACAUUCUCGGAGUUAGCUAUUUUUCCCAAUACAAAAUGAAGUUGCUUGCUUUUUCUCAGUGUGUGGCUUACAUAAAAGAAAGUAAAAUGAUAGCUUAACUUGAAGUUAAAUUAUCGUAAUAAUGAAAAAAAGAGAGAUGCCUAGAAAACAAAUCAAAGCUCCAUAUUCCAAUUUACUACAUCCAAAAACAGUUCUAAACUUCAUUUCAUUACCAUCUGUUAACGUUUCUGGAGAAGAACUAGAUGAUGCUUGAAAUGCUUUUAGGAAUGGGCUGUCUACUGCCGUAAUGGGAGAUUCUAAAAAUUCAACUGAAGGUACACCUGAGAAAACAAUACAUGGAGAAUAAAAAUUAAAUAUUUACAGGGAUACAAACAAGUUAUUACUUCUAAUGUAAAAUAAAUUGGAACCUCAGCAGAAUUAUUAGAAAUUCUUUCUAUAAAAAAAAAAUUUUAGACUGGGUGUAAUGGCUCAUGCCUGUAAUGCCAACACUUUGGAAAGCCAAAGCAAGAGGAUUACUUGAGGCCAGGAGUUCAAGACCAGUCUUGGUAACAUAGGGAGACCCCAUCUCUACCAAAAAAAAAAAAAUACAUAAAUUAGUUGGACAUGGUGGUGUGUGCCUGUAGCCCUACCUACUUGGAAGGGUAAAGCAGGAAGAUCAUUUGAGCCCAGGAAUUUGAGGCUGCAGUGAGCUAUGAUCACAUCACUUCACUGGAUCCGGCCUGGGCAACACUGUGAGACUCUUUUUAUUUAGAUUUUUGUCUGACAUAUAAAGUAAAAGCAAAUGGGUAAAAGUAUUCUUCUGCACAUUUCUGAGAACUUUUUCACAGAAAAAAAGAAUAUUAUGUACCUAUGUUAGCAUAGAAGUUCAAAACCCUAAUAUAUAAUAGUUAUAAAACACUAUCAAAAGCAAGACAUUCACAAUAAGGAACCUCUGGCUGAAAAGGGUAGAAUAAGUGUAUUUUUACUCUAUUCCUUACUAGGAAACCAUCUAAAAACAAAGUAUGAAAAAUAAAGAAGAAAGCACCCUCUUCAAUGAAAUGAGGAAACAUCCACAACUCCAAACCAUAAACUACAAAGACUAAUUGCUAAAUAUAUUGACUUUUGGACCAAAAGGAAGGAAGCUGCAGAGAAAAUGUGUAGCUGCUCUAUCUUCUUCACAAACCACCACCUUUCCCCUACACUGCUAUCUCUACACCACAGGUGGUCCUAAUUGGGUUAGAAGUUAGCCCCAUCUUAUAACAUAAACAGUGUGGGACGAUUGCUCAGUCUCUCCCCGCUCCUGGCCCCAGUGGCUUCCAUGGGGCAUGUGGGAACAUGGGAGAAGGGGCUCUGGCCCACGCACGUCCUUGUGCUGCCCUCUGGCGGCUGCAUGUGCUACUGAUCUCAAAUGCUCAACUUGUAUUUAAUAAGUUGGUCUCUCAGCUUGAUAGGGCCUGGUAGCCUCAUGCUUGCUCCGACUAUAAGUACAGACUCCCUCAAUACCUGUCACUUCCUCUAUUGAGUCCCCGAGCUUAGGGAACCCACCUCCAGCUCUGCCCCCUGCUAUGAUAGAUGCAUGACUGGCCCACUGACUCACAGGUCAGCUGCCUUCCCACACCCCCAGAGAGCUGGGAAUUAUGGGCUCCUUCCACAUCAAAAAGGAACCAAAUUCCAGCAAGAGGUUUCCUCGGUCUAGGUAUCCACAUGGCUAAAAAUCUGGAGUCCCUCUGUCCCUAGGUUCCUCUAUACCUGAAAUCAGAACAAAAACAUCUUAUAUUUCCUCUCCUUACUCUCACCUUUCUUCACUCCACCUUCUUUCAUUGACCAAAAGGAAGAGGCUUUCUUUCCCUAUGAAAUCAUGUGUUACAUAAGGCAUUUUGGUCAACAAUGGACUGCAUAUACAAUGGUGGCCACAUAAGAUUGUAACAGAGCUGCCCUAUAAAAGUGUAACAUUUUAUUUAUUUACUUUGAGGCAGGGUGUUACUCUGUCACCCAGGCUGGAGGGCAAUGGUGCCAUCACAGCUCAUUGCAACCUCUGCAUCCAAAGCUCAGGUGAUCCUCUCACCUCAGCCCUCACCAAGUAGCUGGGAUUACAGGCACACACACAAUACCAGGCCCAGCUAAUUUUUUGUAUUUUUGUAGAGACAGGGUUUCGCCAUGUUGCCUAGGCUGGUCUCAAACUCCUGGGCUCAAGCGAUCUGCCUGCCUCAGCCUCCCAAAUGCUGGGAUUACAGGCAUAAGCCACUGCACACGGCCCAUUUUAUUUUUUAUGCCAUAUUUUUACUGUACCUUUUCUAUAUUUAGAAAAAUUUAGAUAUACAAAUGCUCACUAUUGUGUUACAAUUGUCUACAGCAUUCAGUACAGUAGCAUGAUGAACAAGUUUGUUGCCUAGGAACAAAAGGCUAUACCAUGUAGCUAGGUGUGUAGUAUGCUCUACCAUCUAGGUUUAUGUAAGUACACUCUAUGAUGUUCACAUAACGAACAUCAACUAACAAUGCAUUUUCCAGAAUGUAUCCCCAUCAUUUAGUGGCACAUGACUAUACCUUGAAGAUACUUAGUGUUAAAAUACUAGACGUCACUAAAGGGCAAAGAUGCCAGCUACCACCAUUAUUUAGCAUUGUUCUGGAAGUACUAGCCAUUUUGACUAGUCAAGAAUAAGAAGAGUCACAAAUAUUGGAAAGGAAGAGGAAAAAACAUUAUUUUUAUAAAAUAAACUAAAAAUUGAGUAAAAACUCUAAGUAAUAAGAAUGGUAACAAAAGCAAUGAAACACUUUUGCUUUUUUAUAAACAAAUAAUAAUCAGUAAGAAGAUAUAAUAGAAGAAAAAAUAUCUCAUGUAUGAUACCAAUGAAAAAAAAUUGGCCAGGAAUAGUGGCUUACACCUGUAAUCCCAGCUCUUUGGGAGGCCGAGGCGGGCAGAUCACCUGAGGUCAGGAGUUCAAGACCAGCCUGGCCAACAUGGUGAAACCAUGCCUCUACUAAAAAUACAAAAAUUAGCCAGGCAUGGUGGCAUGCGCCUGUAAUCCCAGCUACUCAGGAGGCUGAGGCAGGAGAAUCACUUGAACCCAGGAGGCAGAGAUUGCAGUGAGCCAAGGCACUCCAGCCUGGGAGACAGAGCAAGAUUCCAUCUCAAAAAAAGUUAAAUACCUAGAAAUAAACUUAAUAAGAUUGUGCAAGACUUCUGGGAAAACAACUUCAGAAUUCCACUUAGUUGCACAGAUGACAAAUAAAUGAAAAGACAAUACUGAAAAAUAUCAAUUCUACAUGGUGGCUCACACCUGUAGUCCCAGCUACUCAGGAGUCUGAGGUGGGAGGAUUACUUGACCUUCGGAGUUUGACACCAACCUGAGCAACAUAGUAAGACUCUGUCUCUAAAAAAAAUAUAAAAUGUAAAAUAUUAGCCAGGCAUACUGGCAUGCGCCCACAGGCACAGCUACUCGGGAGGUUGGGUGGGAGGACUGCUUAAGCCCAGGAGUUCAAGGCUGCGGUGAGCUAUAAUCAUACUACCGCAGUCCAGCCUGGAAAACAAAGCAAAACCCCAUCUUUAAAAAAAAAAUUAUUUCUACAUUCAUCUACAUAUUCAAUGUGAUCUCAAUUAAAAUAACAGAGUUUAUAAUACCUUAACAAAAU
Molecule: long non-coding RNA, 7380 nt
Filed under: Homo sapiens (human)
Lineage: Eukaryota; Metazoa; Chordata; Mammalia; Primates; Hominidae
Description: HSALNT0119869
Source: RNAcentral